CCUACGGGUGGCAGCAGUGGGGGAUAUUGCACAAUGGGGGAAACCCUGAUGCAGCGACGCCGCGUGGGUGAAGAAGUAUUUAGGUAUGUAAAGCCCUAUCAGCAGGGGAGAAAGAAGACGGUCCCUGACUAAGAAGCCCCGGCUACCUACGUGCCAGCCGCCGCGGUCAUACGUAGGGUGCGAGCGUUAACCGGAUUACCGGGGUGUAAAGGGAUCGUAGAUGGCCGUGCAAGGCAGGUGUGAAAGGCCGGGGCACAACCCCGGGACUGCCGUUGUACCUGUGGGGCUGGAGUGCGGGAGGGGCAGGCGGAAUUCGUGGUGUAGCGGUGAAAUGCGUAGAGAUCAGGAGGAACACCGGCGGCGAAGGCAGCCUGCUGGACCGCGACUGACGUUGAGGCUCGAAAGCGUGGGGAGCGAACAGGAUUAGAUACCCGAGUAGUC
This 441-nucleotide ribosomal RNA is filed under the name uncultured bacterium. Its description in RNAcentral is "partial 16S ribosomal RNA". It matches the Rfam family "Bacterial small subunit ribosomal RNA", at positions 338 to 795 of the family's 1533-position model. The record is from RNAcentral.